This 466-nucleotide ribosomal RNA is filed under the name Chlamydogobius eremius (desert goby). Its description in RNAcentral is "partial 12S ribosomal RNA". It matches the Rfam family "Bacterial small subunit ribosomal RNA", at positions 868 to 1527 of the family's 1533-position model. Lineage: Eukaryota; Metazoa; Chordata; Actinopteri; Gobiiformes; Gobiidae. The record is from RNAcentral.
UUUGCCAGGAAACUACGAGCCUCAGCUUAAAACCCAAAGGACUUGGCGGUGCUUUAGACCCAACUAGAGGAGCCUGUUCUAGAACCGAUGAUCCCCGUUCAACCUCACCCCUUCUUGCUCUCAACUGCCUAUAUACCGCCGUCGUCAGCUUACCCUGUGAAGGUAUCACAGUAGGCUAAAUUGGCUCACCCCUAAAACGCCAGGUCGAGGUGUAGCAUAUGAAGGGGGAAGAAAUGGGCUACAUUCACUGACCCAGUGCAAACGAACAAUGCCUUGAAACAGACAUUCAAAGGAGGAUUUAGCAGUAAGGGGGAGAAUAGAGUGCCCCCCUGAAGCCGGCCCUGAAGCGCGCACACACCGCCCGUCACCCUCCCCUAUUAUCUAGACCUGCUGAAUAAAGCAACCAAAAUAAAGAGGAGAUAAGUCGUAACAUGGUAAGUGUACUGGAAAGUGUACUUGAGAAAAC